Long non-coding RNA from Gossypium arboreum, 262 nucleotides. RefSeq lists it as uncharacterized. The transcript has 2 exons. The record is from RefSeq and is a predicted model, not a curated record. NCBI's taxonomy places the organism in Eukaryota, Viridiplantae, Streptophyta, Magnoliopsida, Malvales, Malvaceae.
GGCGAAAAGAACAAAGUUUUGUCCAUCUUUGUUCAUCAUAGCCUAAAGUUAGAGAAGAGAAAGGAGAGGAGAAAGCUCUUGAAUGUUCGGUCACUUGGGGAAGAAAAUUGAAGGAAAUCCCCAACCAUAGUGGGCUUGGAGCUGUGAGGGAAUUCGGAGUGGCCACCCGUUCUGAAAGUUUGAUUUUCUUCUAGUGAACUGGACAUCCUUUUAUUUACGUUUGAAGUUUUGGGUUUUUAAAUGUAAUAAGGCCACUUAAUUA